UACGUAGGUGACAAGCGUUGUCCGGAUUUACUGGGCGUAAAGAGCGCGCAGGCGGUCGAUCAAGUCGAGUGUGAAAGCCCCCGGCUCAACUGGGGAGGGUCAUUCGAUACUGAUCGACUCGAAGGCAGGAGAGGGUAGUGGAAUUCCCGGUGUAGUGGUGAAAUGCGUAGAUAUCGGGAGGAACACCAAUGGCGAAGGCAGCUCGCUGGGACGGUACUGACGCUGAGGCGCGAAAGCGUGGGGAGCAAACAGG
This 253-nucleotide ribosomal RNA is filed under the name uncultured bacterium. Its description in RNAcentral is "partial 16S ribosomal RNA". It matches the Rfam family "Bacterial small subunit ribosomal RNA", at positions 524 to 776 of the family's 1533-position model. The record is from RNAcentral.